GAUAACCAUUGGAAACGAUGGCUAAUACCGCAUGAUGCCUACGGGCCAAAGAGGGGGACCUUCGGGCCUCUCGCGUCAGGAUAUGCCUAGGUGGGAUUAGCUAGUUGGUGAGGUAAGGGCUCACCAAGGCGACGAUCCCUAGCUGGUCUGAGAGGAUGAUCAGCCACACUGGAACUGAGACACGGUCCAGACUCCUACGGGAGGCAGCAGUGGGGAAUAUUGCACAAUGGGCGCAAGCCUGAUGCAGCCAUGCCGCGUGUGUGAAGAAGGCCUUCGGGUUGUAAAGCACUUUCAGUCGUGAGGAAGGUAGUGUAGUUAAUAGCUGCAUUAUUUGACGUUAGCGACAGAAGAAGCACCGGCUAACUCCGUGCCAGCAGCCGCGGUAAUACGGAGGGUGCGAGCGUUAAUCGGAAUUACUGGGCGUAAAGCGCAUGCAGGUGGUUUGUUAAGUCAGAUGUGAAAGCCCGGGGCUCAACCUCGGAAUAGCAUUUGAAACUGGCAGACUAGAGUACUGUAGAGGGGGGUAGAAUUUCAGGUGUAGCGGUGAAAUGCGUAGAGAUCUGAAGGAAUACCGGUGGCGAAGGCGGCCCCCUGGACAGAUACUGACACUCAGAUGCGAAAGCGUGGGGAGCAAACAGGAUUAGAUACCCUGGUAGUCCACGCCGUAAACGAUGUCUACUUGGAGGUUGUGGCCUUGAGCCGUGGCUUUCGGAGCUAACGCGUUAAGUAGACCGCCUGGGGAGUACGGUCGCAAGAUUAAAACUCAAAUGAAUUGACGGGGGCCCGCACAAGCGGUGGAGCAUGUGGUUUAAUUCGAUGCAACGCGAAGAACCUUACCUACUCUUGACAUCCAGAGAACUUUCCAGAGAUGGAUUGGUGCCUUCGGGAACUCUGAGACAGGUGCUGCAUGGCUGUCGUCAGCUCGUGUUGUGAAAUGUUGGGUUAAGUCCCGCAACGAGCGCAACCCUUAUCCUUGUUUGCCAGCGAGUAAUGUCGGGAACUCCAGGGAGACUGCCGGUGAUAAACCGGAGGAAGGUGGGGACGACGUCAAGUCAUCAUGGCCCUUACGAGUAGGGCUACACACGUGCUACAAUGGCGCAUACAGAGGGCAGCCAACUUGCGAAAGUGAGCGAAUCCCAAAAAGUGCGUCGUAGUCCGGAUUGGAGUCUGCAACUCGACUCCAUGAAGUCGGAAUCGCUAGUAAUCGUGGAUCAGAAUGCCACGGUGAAUACGUUCCCGG
RNAcentral lists this ribosomal RNA (1240 nucleotides) under Vibrio sp. Its description in RNAcentral is "bacterial SSU rRNA". It matches the Rfam family "Bacterial small subunit ribosomal RNA", at positions 142 to 1377 of the family's 1533-position model. Lineage: Bacteria; Pseudomonadati; Pseudomonadota; Gammaproteobacteria; Vibrionales; Vibrionaceae. The record is from RNAcentral.